GAUGAACGCUGGCGGCGUGCCUAAUACAUGCAAGUCGAGCGAAGCGGGGACGGGUGAGUAACACGUGGAUAACCUCCUAUAAGACGGGGGAAACUUCGGGGAACCGGAAGUAAACCGGCAACUUAUAGCUGGAUCCGAGCUGCAUUAGCUAGGUGGUAAGGUAACGGCUGACCAAGGCAACGAUGCAUAGCCGACCUGAGAGGGUGAUCGGCCACACUGGAACGGUGACACGGUCCAGACUCCUACGGGAGGCAGCAGUAGGGAAUAUUGCGCAAUGGGCGAAAGCCUGAGGGAGCAACGCCGCGUGAGUGAUGAAGGUCUUCGGGUCGUAAAGCACUGUUAUUAGGGAAGCGUUACCGAAUCAGAAAGCCACGGCUAACUCCGUGCCAGCAGCCGCGGUAAUAC
RNAcentral lists this ribosomal RNA (405 nucleotides) under uncultured bacterium. RNAcentral describes it as "partial 16S ribosomal RNA". It matches the Rfam family "Bacterial small subunit ribosomal RNA", at positions 28 to 526 of the family's 1533-position model. The record is from RNAcentral.